GGUCAAGUUAUUAAGGGUGCAGGGCGGAUGCCUUGGCACUAGGAGCCGAUGAAGGACGUGAUAAGCUGCGAUAAGCUUCGGGGAGUUGCACGUAAACUUUGAUCCGAAGAUUUCCGAAUGAGGAAACUCACUUAGAGUAAUGUCUAAGUAUCAUUAAGUGAAUACAUAGCUUAAUGAGGGGAACUCAGGGAACUGAAACAUCUAAGUACCUGAAGGAAGAGAAAGAAAUUCGAUUCCGUAAGUAGCGGCGAGCGAACGCGGAUUAGCCCAAACCAAUAAAGUUUUCUUUAUUGGGGUUGCGGACAUAUCAUAACGAAGAGGUAUCGUAAUUGAAGAGGUUUGGAAAGACCCACCACAGAAGGUAAUAGUCCUGUAUGUUAAACGAGAAGACUUCAGAUAUGAUCCAGAGUACCACGGGACACGUGAAACCCUGUGGGAAGCAGGAGGGACCACCCUCCAAGGCUAAAUACUACCUAGUGACCGAUAGCGUAUAGUACCGUGAGGGAAAGGUGAAAAGAACCCCGGGAGGAGUGAAAUAGAACCUGAAACCCUGCACUUACAAGCUGUGGAAGCACAUUUCUUGUGUGACCGCGUACUUUUUGUAGAACGGGCCAACGAGUUACGUUAAGUAGCAAGGUUAAGCACUUAAGGUGUGGAGCCGUAGCGAAAGCGAGUUUUAACUGAGCGUUCAGUUACUUGACGUAGACCCGAAACCGGGCGACCUACCCAUGAGCAGGAUGAAGCGAAAGUAAAAUUUCGUGGAGGUCCGAACCCACGAGCGUUGAAAAGCUCGGGGAUGACUUGUGGGUAGCGGUGAAAUUCCAAUCGAGCCCGGAGAUAGCUGGUUCUCCCCGAAAUAGCUUUAGGGCUAGCCUCAAGGUGAGAGAUACGGAGGUAGAGCACUGAAUGUCCUAGGGGGUAUUGCACCUACCGAAGACUAUCAAACUCCGAAUGCCGUCAUCUUAUACUUGGGAGUCAGACUGUGGGUGAUAAGAUUCAUAGUCGAAAGGGCAACAGCCCAGAUCGUCAGCUAAGGUCCCUAAAUGUAAGUUAAGUGGUAAAGGAUGUGGGAUUGCACAGACAACCAGGAUGUUGGCUUAGAAGCAGCCACUCAUUCAAAGAGUGCGUAAUAGCUCACUGGUCGAGUGAUCCUGCGCCGAAGAUUUCCGGGGCUAAAACUUACUACCGAAGCUACGGCAUCAGUAAUGAUGGGUAGGGGAGCUUCCCAUACGGGUUGAAGCAUGACCGUAAGGACAUGUGGACAGUAUGGGAGUGAGAAUGUUGGCAUGAGUAGCGAGAUGUGGGUGAGAAUCCCACAGGCCGUAAACCCAAGGUUUCCAGGGGAAGGUUCGUCCGCCCUGGGUUAGUCGGGACCUAAGCUGAGGCCGAAAGGCGUAGGUGAUGGACAACAGGUUGAUAUUCCUGUACUACCGAUAACCGUUUGAGAGAAGGGAUGACACAGUAGGAUAAGCUAAGCACACUGUUGGUUAUGUGUGCCCAAGCAUUGAGGCAGUCAAAGUAGGCAAAUCCGCUUUGAUAAUGCUGGGAUGUGAUGGGGAGCGAAAUUUAGUAGCGAAGUAGCUGAUUUCACACUGUCAAGAAAAGUCUCUAUCGAGGUUAAAGGUACCCGUACCGCAAACCGACACAGGUGGGUGAGGAGAGUAUCCUAAGGCCAGCGAGAGAACUGUUGUUAAGGAACUCGGCAAAAUGACCCCGUAACUUAGGGAUAAGGGGUGCCACCAUCAGGUGGCCGCAGAGAAUAGGCCCAAGCGACUGUUUACCAAAAACAUAGGUUUCUGCUAAGUCGCAAGACGAUGUAUAGGAGCUGACGCCUGCCCGGUGCUGGAAGGUUAAGGGGAUCUGUUAGAGCAAUCGAAGCAGUGAACUUAAGCCCCAGUAAACGGCGGCCGUAACUAUAACGGUCCUAAGGUAGCGAAAUUCCUUGUCGGGUAAGUUCCGACCCGCACGAAAGGCGUAACGAUUUGGGCACUGUCUCAACAACAGACUCGGUGAAAUUGUAAUUCCGGUGAAGAUGCCGGAUACCUGCGACAGGACGGAAAGACCCCAUGGAGCUUUACUGUAGCUUGACAUUGGGUUUUGGUACUACAUGUACAGGAUAGGUGGGAGGCUUUGAAACCAGGACGCCAGUUUUGGCGGAGCCAUCCUUGGGAUACCACCCUUGUAGUACUGGGACUCUAACCAUAGGCCAUGAAUCUGGUCUUGGGACACUGUCAGGUGGGCAGUUUGACUGGGGCGGUCGCCUCCCAAAAGGUAACGGAGGCGCUCAAAGGUUCUCUCAGUACGGUCGGAAAUCGUACGUAGAGUGUAAAGGCAAAAGAGAGCUUGAUUGCAAGACAUACAGGUCGAGCAAGGAUGAAAAUCGGACUUAGUGAUCCGGUGGUUCUGCGUGGAAGGGCCAUCGCUCAACGGAUAAAAGCUACCCUGGGGAUAACAGGCUUAUCUCCCCCAAGAGUCCACAUCGACGGGGAGGUUUGGCACCUCGAUGUCGGCUCAUCACAUCCUGGGGCUGUAGUAGGUCCCAAGGGUUGGGCUGUUCGCCCAUUAAAGUGGUACGCGAGCUGGGUUCAGAACGUCGUGAGACAGUUCGGUCCCUAUCCGUCGCAGGCGUAGGAAAUUUGAGAAGACCUGUCCUUAGUACGAGAGGACCGGGAUGGACGUACCUCUGGUGUACCAGUUGUUCUGCCAAGGGCAUGGCUGGGUAGCUAUGUACGGAAUGGAUAAGCGCUGAAAGCAUCUAAGCGCGAAGCCAACUUCAAGAUAAGAUUUCCCACCGCAAGGGUAAGACCCCAGAAAGACUAUCUGGUUGAUAGGUCGAAGGUGUAAGUGCAGCAAUGUAUUUAGCUUAUCGAUACUAAUAGGUCGAGGACUUGACCAA
Molecule: ribosomal RNA, 2896 nt
Filed under: Clostridioides difficile
Lineage: Bacteria; Bacillati; Bacillota; Clostridia; Peptostreptococcales; Peptostreptococcaceae
Description: 23S ribosomal RNA
Rfam family: Bacterial large subunit ribosomal RNA
Source: RNAcentral